This 1496-nucleotide ribosomal RNA is filed under the name Lacticaseibacillus paracasei subsp. paracasei. RNAcentral describes it as "bacterial SSU rRNA". It matches the Rfam family "Bacterial small subunit ribosomal RNA". The record is from RNAcentral. Lineage: Bacteria; Bacillati; Bacillota; Bacilli; Lactobacillales; Lactobacillaceae.
GAUGAACGCUGGCGGCGUGCCUAAUACAUGCAAGUCGAACGAGUUCUCGUUGAUGAUCGGUGCUUGCACCGAGAUUCAACAUGGAACGAGUGGCGGACGGGUGAGUAACACGUGGGUAACCUGCCCUUAAGUGGGGGAUAACAUUUGGAAACAGAUGCUAAUACCGCAUAGAUCCAAGAACCGCAUGGUUCUUGGCUGAAAGAUGGCGUAAGCUAUCGCUUUUGGAUGGACCCGCGGCGUAUUAGCUAGUUGGUGAGGUAAUGGCUCACCAAGGCGAUGAUACGUAGCCGAACUGAGAGGUUGAUCGGCCACAUUGGGACUGAGACACGGCCCAAACUCCUACGGGAGGCAGCAGUAGGGAAUCUUCCACAAUGGACGCAAGUCUGAUGGAGCAACGCCGCGUGAGUGAAGAAGGCUUUCGGGUCGUAAAACUCUGUUGUUGGAGAAGAAUGGUCGGCAGAGUAACUGUUGUCGGCGUGACGGUAUCCAACCAGAGAGCCACGGCUAACUACGUGCCAGCAGCCGCGGUAAUACGUAGGUGGCAAGCGUUAUCCGGAUUUAUUGGGCGUAAAGCGAGCGCAGGCGGUUUUUUAAGUCUGAUGUGAAAGCCCUCGGCUUAACCGAGGAAGCGCAUCGGAAACUGGGAAACUUGAGUGCAGAAGAGGACAGUGGAACUCCAUGUGUAGCGGUGAAAUGCGUAGAUAUAUGGAAGAACACCAGUGGCGAAGGCGGCUGUCUGGUCUGUAACUGACGCUGAGGCUCGAAAGCAUGGGUAGCGAACAGGAUUAGAUACCCUGGUAGUCCAUGCCGUAAACGAUGAAUGCUAGGGUGUUGGAGGGUUUCCGCCCUUCAGUGCCGCAGCUAACGCAUUAAGCAUUCCGCCUGGGGAGUACGACCGCAAGGUUGAAACUCAAAGGAAUUGACGGGGGCCCGCACAAGCGGUGGAGCAUGUGGUUUAAUUCGAAGCAACGCGAAGAACCUUACCAGGUCUUGACAUCUUUUGAUCACCUGAGAGAUCAGGCUUCCCCUUCGGGGGCAAAAUGACAGGUGGUGCAUGGUUGUCGUCAGCUCGUGUCGUGAGAUGUUGGGUUAAGUCCCGCAACGAGCGCAACCCUUAUGACUAGUUGCCAGCAUUUAGUUGGGCACUCUAGUAAGACUGCCGGUGACAAACCGGAGGAAGGUGGGGAUGACGUCAAAUCAUCAUGCCCCUAAUGACCUGGGCUACACACGUGCUACAAUGGAUGGUACAACGAGUUGCGAGACCGCGAUGUCAAGCUAAUCUCUUAAAGCCAUUCUCAGUUCGGACUGUAGGCUGCAACUCGCCUACACGAAGUCGGAAUCGCUAGUAAUCGCGGAUCAGCACGCCGCGGUGAAUACGUUCCCGGGCCUUGUACACACCGCCCGUCACACCAUGAGAGUUUGUAACACCCGAAGCCGGUGGCGUAACCCUUUUAGGGAGCGAGCCGUCUAAGGUGGGACAAAUGAUUAGGGUGAAG